ACCAUGAUGACGUCACUUAUUAUACACGGAAAAUUCGUGGAUUUCGUUAAAGGCUGUGUAACUUAUAAUGUGGCUGCAGUUCUUAUAAUAUAGCUGCAAGACUUAUAAAAAUAUAGCUACUGAACGCAUAUCCUAUUAAUGUUGGUUAUUUACCUGCAAUGUGAGUUACACAACUAUAUUAUAGAUUACAGAGCUACAUUAUGCAUCGACAACACAUGUUAUAGCUAGGAUUUGCAUAUUGUGGCUGUGUACUCUAUAUCAUAGCUGUGUAACGCAUAUUUGACGUAUGAAAAAUAUAGCUGUGUGCUGCAUAUCAGAAAAUGUAUGGGACCAUGCAUUCAAGUUGUGAUUCGUACUGACGCUUGGUCGGACUCAAUGUUAACAGAUAAAGAAAAAUCGUAAAAUAGCUUGGCUGAUUUUAAUAAAGCUUGAUUGUCAGGUUAUAGAAAUACCUCUUCAAUAGUCAAAAUCCGUGGAAACACAGACGAAUGA
Bradysia coprophila is the source of this 492-nucleotide long non-coding RNA. NCBI's taxonomy places the organism in Eukaryota, Metazoa, Arthropoda, Insecta, Diptera, Sciaridae. The record is from RefSeq and is a predicted model, not a curated record.